This is a non-coding RNA of Malaclemys terrapin pileata, 1234 nucleotides long. The record is from the annotation of a RefSeq genome assembly. Lineage: Eukaryota; Metazoa; Chordata; Testudines; Emydidae.
ACCCGUUUGCCUCAGGAAGCCGAGCUCAUCUGGAUUCCCGCCAUGGCCUGGGCCCCUCUGCUCCUUGGGCUGUUUGCUUACUGCUCAGGGGUCAGUUCGCAGCCCGUGGUGACUCAGGAGCCCUCGAUGUCGGUGACCCCAGGAGGGGCUGUCACUCUGUCCUGCAGCCUGAGCACUGGAGCCAUCACCACCAGCAACUAUCCCUCCUGGUACCAGCAGAAACCAGGCUCUGCUCCUCGACUGCUUAUAUACAACACCAAUAGGAGACCCUCCGGGAUCCCUGCCCAGUUCUCUGGGUCCAUAUCUGGUAACAACGCUGCCCUGACCAUCACCGGUGUCCAGGCAGAGGAUGAGGCUGACUAUUACUGUGUUGUGUAUACGGGUAGCAGUGGUAGUUGGUCUCACAGUGAUCCAGCCAGAUGGGAACAGAGACAGAAACCUCCCAUCAUCCCUCGUCAUCUCCUCCAGCCUGGGCUCUCCACUGGCUGCACAGUUUGGUUCCUCCCUGCAAUAUAUGAGACACCGAUUGCUCCUCCUUAGGAAUUUCAGCCACCAGCUCUUGCUGUCAGCAGGGGGCGCUGCUCCACCCACUCCCCAUUCACUCCCUCUGGGGGAGAUGUCAGCCGCUCUUAUGCUCACUGCUUGGUAUCUACAAUGGAGCAGCUUUUGCUGCCUUAGGGAUCCCUAUGCUACAGACCCACCACUACGUGGAUCAAAGUGGGAUCAGACGGCCACAUGCUCCUUGGGUAAAGGAUGCUCCACAAAGCUCCUUCAGCCUUGUCUGAGCCAGUUCCAUCUGCUCCCCACUCCCAAUCUCUGAGGGACUCCAAAGGGCACUGGCCUCGUCCCUGCUUCUUCCCUCUCCACCCCACUCCAUGUGACGGGUUGGACCCCUUGGGAAGCCACCUGAUGUGCUGAGAUACCCCUGAGUCUACCUGUUCUGCCAGCCUGGGCCUCCUUUAACCUGUCUUGCUGAGCCAGGCCCUGAAAACCUCCUCGAACACACACACAGGCAGGGCCACCCCCAGCUGCAGCUCAGCUCUGGGAAGACUCAGCUUCAAGGACUUGCUCCAGCACUCAGCUGUCCCCACCUCCCUGGGAGUGCAGACCCAGAGAUAUAGUAGGAAAUUCACCCCCUCCCUCAAUGUGGAGAGAGGGCUGCACACUUCUUACCCCGCCAGUUAGAAAUUACAGAAACUGGGUUUAAUAAUAAACAAAACUAAUUUUAUUAACU